This 253-nucleotide ribosomal RNA is filed under the name uncultured bacterium. RNAcentral's name for it is "partial 16S ribosomal RNA". It matches the Rfam family "Bacterial small subunit ribosomal RNA", at positions 524 to 776 of the family's 1533-position model. The record is from RNAcentral.
UACGUAGGGACCAAGCGUUGUUCGGAUUUACUGGGCGUAAAGGGCGCGUAGGCGGCGUGGUAAGUCACUUGUGAAAUCUCUGAGCUUAACUCAGAACGGCCAAGUGAUACUGCUGUGCUAGAGUGCAGAAGGGGCAAUCGGAAUUCUUGGUGUAGCGGUGAAAUGCGUAGAUAUCAAGAGGAACACCUGAGGUGAAGACGGGUUGCUGGGCUGACACUGACGCUGAGGCGCAAAAACCAGGGGAGCAAACGGG